Felis catus (domestic cat) is the source of this 1506-nucleotide long non-coding RNA. RefSeq lists it as uncharacterized. The record is from RefSeq and is a predicted model, not a curated record. The transcript has 4 exons. NCBI's taxonomy places the organism in Eukaryota, Metazoa, Chordata, Mammalia, Carnivora, Felidae.
UGGAAGAGCAAACACAAACGGGUGUGCGCCGAGGUAAACAAACUCGGUGGCGCCGCCCUCUCCUCCCGGAGCUAGGAAAGAGGUGCUGAGACGACUCAGGGCUGGGGGCUAGGAUUGCUGCAGGAUGCGCAAGGGAAGGAUUAAAUUGGAUCGCCUGAGGCUUCAAGUUUGCAGACUGCGCAGUGCAUGGGAAUCAACUGAGCAUAAAAUACGUUUAGUAGGAGAAAACAUUUUAAAGCCAUGGGGUGUGUUUAGAAUGAAAAUCUGCGGUAAUAUAAAACCAGGGACUCUACAUUUUAGUGGAUUUAACAAGAGUCAAAACCCCACCGACCACCUUUGAGAAGCAUCACAUUAGGAACUGCCCCGUCAGGCUACGCCAGCCUGGCCUCCGUAACCAUCGUAAAUUAAGGACGAAACCAAGAGACAGAGUAAUGUCUGGACCUUCCACCACCUGUAUGACUUCUUAAAAGUAACAAAUCAGAAACAACAGCUCUAAGUGUUGAGAACGACCUCUCAGGCAACUGGUUUCCUUCCUAGCUCAAAACAGCAAAAUGCCUAUCAGUUGGAAUGCCUGCGAAAUUUACUCAGGAAAAAACCCGCCAUAGACCCUGUAGGGUUCGCCAACAGUUCACCGCUCCAAUCUGAGUGUUCUUAUUCAGACAUACACGAUACCAAAACUGAAAAGUCGCUCACAAGUGUGACCGAUGCUUGGAUUUUUCUUAAAAGAGCUUCUUUUCAUAAUCCCUUUAGUUUACUUCAGAGCCAAAGACUAAACAGCCUUUUGAAAAAGUUUUUCUUUGUCUGAGCCCCGUGAAUUUCCUUUCUGCCCAACCCCCCAACAAGAACUCAUUUCUUUAUUCGUGUUAACAGUCUUUUUUUUUUUUUUUUUUUGGAACGGUGGGGGAAGAGAACCUGAGGCCCCUCGUUUUCGGAGUUUCAUUUUUAUGCAAGCUGCUACCCUUAACAGUUUAGCAUUAUUCAGACAGUCCUUGAGAGGACUGUCCCAGCAUUAAACAUUCAUAAUCUGCAGACAAAGAGAAAGAGCAGCCUCGUGUAGAGUUAGGAACAAGAGUUUUCUCACCUACUUUUGAGAACCGGUCUGAUAGCUCCCAGGUAAAACUUGCAUAUAGUUCUAAAGGUAUAUGUUCAUGUAUAGUUUUUUAUCAUUCUCUUUAAAGAUGAAAGUUUCUUUGUGAACAAAAAUGCCAUUGUUGUAGACAAUAUCCAAGUUCGUGUGGUGGCGAAGUCUAUAAAUUUAAAGAGAGCAGCCUGGAGCUAAAAGUUAUGUUAGCAGAUUCAGUUCAUGCUAAGACAAAGAAAGGCUGGGGCACACAAUUACAGAUAAAAUCCUUAGUUACAUAGAACCUUCACCUACAUCAUUGCAUUUAAUGUGGUAAAUGAAGCUGCUGUUCUGUUUUGCAUUUAAUUUUUGUCAAUUAAUGAGUCUUAGCUGAGCUCUCCAUAACCUGGUUCCCAGGGUCAAUAAUUAAACUUGGUUUAUUCUUC